ACAGAGAGUGCGAACGUUGUUCGGAAUUACUGGGCUUAAAGAGCACGUAGGCGGCAUCGUAAGUGUCAGGUGAAAUCCCACGGCUCACCCGUGGAACUGCCCGGCAGACUGCGAUGCUCGAGUGUGGUAGGGGAGAACGGAACUCCUGGUGGAGCGGUGAAAUGCGUAGAUAUCAGGAGGAACACCGGUGGCGAAGGCGGUUCUCUGGUCCACAACUGACGCUGAGGUGCGAAAGCUAGGGGAGCAAACGGGA
RNAcentral lists this ribosomal RNA (253 nucleotides) under uncultured prokaryote. RNAcentral's name for it is "partial 16S ribosomal RNA". It matches the Rfam family "Bacterial small subunit ribosomal RNA", at positions 525 to 777 of the family's 1533-position model. The record is from RNAcentral.